This 383-nucleotide ribosomal RNA is filed under the name uncultured eukaryote. RNAcentral's name for it is "partial 18S ribosomal RNA". It matches the Rfam family "Eukaryotic small subunit ribosomal RNA", at positions 592 to 976 of the family's 1831-position model. The record is from RNAcentral.
CAAUAGCGUAUAUUAAAGUUGUUGCAGUUAAAAAGCUCGUAGUUGGAUUUCUGGUGGGAGCGAUCGGUCUGGCGCUUAGCGCGAGUACUUGCAUCGUCUCCGGCCAUCCUUGGGGAGAGUCUGUCUGGCAUUAAGUUGUCGGGCAGAGGAUCCUCAUCGUUUACUGUGAAAAAAUUAGAGUGUUCAAAGCAGGCUUAUGCCGUUGAAUAUAUUAGCAUGGAAUAAUAAGAUAGGACUUUGGUACUAUUUUGUUGGUUUGCGCACCAAAGUAAUGAUUAAUAGGGACAGUUGGGGGUAUUCGUAUUCCGUUGGCAGAGGUGAAAUUCUUGGAUUUACGGAAGACGAACUACUGCGAAAGCAUUUACCAAGGAUGUUUUCAUUAA